Pelobates cultripes (western spadefoot toad) is the source of this 403-nucleotide non-coding RNA. Lineage: Eukaryota; Metazoa; Chordata; Amphibia; Anura; Pelobatidae. The record is from the annotation of a GenBank genome assembly.
GAAGGGGUCAAUUCAAUAAACACAAGAAUUGUAGUAAAAUGAAACCCAUAUAGCAAUGUUAGCUAAGCUAGCUAUUUUGUGAUUAUUGUUAAGUGGGGAUUUUUCAUUUCCACAUCAGCUAUUUUUACAUACAUUUUGCAAUUUGUUUUUAGAUCACUACAAUGGGGUGUUUAAUAAGUAAAUGCAAUGAGACUGUUUUAUGAGGAUACAUAUGAACAUUUACAUUCUAAGCAUAUGCAUGCUUAUUUUUUAUCUUAAUAGGUUAUCUCAAAAAUAUUGUUAACGUUGAUAUAAUUUAGCACUAUAUGCAAUGACUGGUGAUGUAACUGAAAAAAACAACCUUAGUUUAAAAAGCUAAUGAGAUCAAGGUUUGCAAGAAUUGUAGAAGAUUCCAUGUUUCUAG